GUAUAUAACUUUUUAUAGGUGCUAAAAAGACCCAAUGAUCAACAUUCUGUUACAUUCAUAGGAGUAUGUGAAUGACAUAGAACCUAGAUACUCAAGGCAAAGCUGGGGUGCUCAUUGAAAAGAGACACAGCAAUCCUCAACCCUUCUGAUUUUCUCAGAAAAUUACUUUUCUCUAGGGUCCUACAAAAAGUGCACAGGUGGAAAAAUAAAGAUGACAAGCGUGCACAUGCCCCCAGGAAGAGCCAGCAACAGCCUAUCAACAUUUAUUCAAUAAUGAUCCUUCCGCAGGUUCACCUACGGAAA
RNAcentral lists this unclassified non-coding RNA (303 nucleotides) under uncultured fungus. RNAcentral's name for it is "sequence contains ITS1". Lineage: Eukaryota; Fungi. The record is from RNAcentral.